Mauremys reevesii (Reeves's turtle) is the source of this 402-nucleotide long non-coding RNA. RefSeq lists it as uncharacterized. The record is from RefSeq and is a predicted model, not a curated record. The transcript is spliced from 2 exons. Lineage: Eukaryota; Metazoa; Chordata; Testudines; Geoemydidae.
GUAGAAUUUAGUGCUAUAAGUGGGUGGAGCAACAUGGGAAGAGAGGUGUUUUCAGUCUGCCCCUGGGUGUUGACUGGCUUUGUGACUGAAUUGUCAGCCAGGAUGGGCUUACUUGUGUAUUUAUUGCAAAGCUGGAGGGGGAUGACUUCACAAAGAUGGGUCAUCUCCCCAGUCAGCCCUUUCUGUAUCCACAAAGCUUAACCCUGCAGAGAAGCCACCGAGGAGCUGCCAUGGGGCACUGGGAACUUUGAACACAGUUUUUCAAGGUAAUAAAUGCCAGCAAGGUCAAAAUCUGGAAACACAUAGCUCCACAUACCAGAGGGAUUGAACUAAUCUGAACCAAGGUAUCAGGACGGAAACCAAGGGCUACUUCAGAAAAUAAAUCACAUGCAUUAAGCCACA